This 700-nucleotide ribosomal RNA is filed under the name Pseudomonas putida. RNAcentral's name for it is "bacterial SSU rRNA". It matches the Rfam family "Bacterial small subunit ribosomal RNA", at positions 74 to 768 of the family's 1533-position model. Lineage: Bacteria; Pseudomonadati; Pseudomonadota; Gammaproteobacteria; Pseudomonadales; Pseudomonadaceae. The record is from RNAcentral.
GGUAGCUUGCUACCUAACCUAGCGGCGGACGGGUGAGUAAUGCUUAGGAAUCUGCCUAUUAGUGGGGGACAACAUUCCGAAAGGAAUGCUAAUACCGCAUACGCCCUACGGGGGAAAGCAGGGGAUCUUCGGACCUUGCGCUAAUAGAUGAGCCUAAGUCAGAUUAGCUAGUUGGUGGGGUAAAGGCCUACCAAGGCGACGAUCUGUAGCGGGUCUGAGAGGAUGAUCCGCCACACUGGGACUGAGACACGGCCCAGACUCCUACGGGAGGCAGCAGUGGGGAAUAUUGGACAAUGGGCGAAAGCCUGAUCCAGCCAUGCCGCGUGUGUGAAGAAGGCCUUUUGGUUGUAAAGCACUUUAAGCGAGGAGGAGGCUACCGAGAUUAAUACUCUUGGAUAGUGGACGUUACUCGCAGAAUAAGCACCGGCUAACUCUGUGCCAGCAGCCGCGGUAAUACAGAGGGUGCGAGCGUUAAUCGGAUUUACUGGGCGUAAAGCGUGCGUAGGCGGCUUUUUAAGUCGGAUGUGAAAUCCCUGAGCUUAACUUAGGAAUUGCAUUCGAUACUGGGAAGCUAGAGUAUGGGAGAGGAUGGUAGAAUUCCAGGUGUAGCGGUGAAAUGCGUAGAGAUCUGGAGGAAUACCGAUGGCGAAAGGCAGCCAUCUGGCCUAAUACUGACGCUGAGGUACGAAAGCAUGGGGGA